UAGAAGGACACAGAUUAGCUUUAGCUAAGACAGUGUUAAUUGUCCCUGCAUUUACUCCUCAGAGAUGAGUAUUCAAAACUACUUUAAGAGAAUACGGCGUGAGGAUGAGGAUGAGAGACGAGGAAAGGAGAAGAGACCACAGCCGGUGGUCAGUGAAUCUGCUGGCACAAACACUCACAGACAGUUACCCAAAGCUGGUUUCUGUAGCGUGUGCUGCUCACAGACUAGCA
Pseudoliparis swirei is the source of this 230-nucleotide long non-coding RNA. RefSeq lists it as uncharacterized. NCBI's taxonomy places the organism in Eukaryota, Metazoa, Chordata, Actinopteri, Perciformes, Liparidae. The record is from RefSeq and is a predicted model, not a curated record. The transcript has 3 exons.